AGCACAUGAAGGAGGGAUCCGCAUAUUUUCAUCUAGAUCACUCAACCUCUGAUUCUAAAAUUCCCCUGUGAGCUCUUGUCAGAAGGCAGAGUUGCUUCAUAGAAAAGAAAGAACAGAAGAAAAAGGACAGAACUUACUCCAAAGAUGGACUGCAAGCCAAAACACUGUAAGCCAAGACCUCACUGGGCAUGCCCACUGCCCCCAACUGCACCUCUGUGGACACUUUGUCUAUUCAGACAUUGAAUAGGCUGAAGCAUUGAAUAAAUGGAGGAAGGAGAAAGUAUAUUAAGAUGACACCAAAAAUGAUGGCCUUGAGUGUUCACAGAAAUCAGACCUAACAAGACAAACAGGUUUCCAACCUUAGAGGCCACCCUGUCCUCAGGAGAAUUACCAGAGAAGAAGGAGUUUUAUUUAUUUUUCUAUGCAUCUAAAUAUCCUGACAAUCUAAUUUCCAGAGGAUCCUAGUCACCAGGCAACACAAGACAUUUUCCAAUUGUGAGGUCCUCAACCCACUGUUCUGUUUUCUUCUAGUUCAAAAUGAAAAUACAAAGGUCAAAACUGAAGAAAUUAGAUUUGAAUCUUUAUUACUACAGAUACCUGGACCCACCCCCUUCUUAUUGUUCAUCAGAAAUUCUGGGAUAAGUGGUUCUAAAAGGAUUAGAGCAAUAAAUCUCACCUAAGAAUAAGAUCAAAGUCAGUUUCCUGUUUCCCUCAGAAAAAAAAGAAAGUGGAAGGAGAUAGUUUAGUUUUUUUCUGGUGACAGUUUAUUUUAUCCCAGACACUUUCUCCAUUUGUAAUUUAGUCUCAUUUGUGUAUUCAGAAGCAGUGCCAGUUCUGAUGGGUUUCUUGGGUGGGGACUAACAAAGUUAAACAAAGAUGUUCUGGUGCCUGAAGUCCUUAAGAGUCCAGCAGGACCUGAUAUGGUAAAAUAAACUCAGGGAGGGCUGUCUGGACCCAUUUUUUCAGGAGACAAAGUGAGCAUAAAUAAGCACAGAAUCAAUAGGCCUCCGGUGCCAAAGUCAGUGGCAACCUGGGGACAUGGAUUUACAGAGGAAAAUAAUUGCUAUAGUACAUUUGCUAUGAGAAAAUACAAUAUUAGAUAUUCUGGUUUUUAAUAUCAGGGUAUCACAAGGAAAAGUGGUCCAGAUUGGCACUGACUCAGUGCCAAUAUAUAAACGCAUUUUUAUAACAAAUGCUUCAUUUACUGGAAAUGUGGCUAUCAGGUUGCAAAACAUAAAAAUAACUCUCAAAUCUGAGGUCAAACCACAGGGUGUAUAAUUCCCUUUUACUAACUAAACAAUUCAGUCCUAAUUAUUCAGAUGCAGGGGUUAAUUGUUUUCCCAGGUUGUACCUCAAUGUCUAUGAUUUACAAAGUCUGCUAUACACACCAUCUCACCACCAUGGUGUGUCUGUCCCAUUACCCAGAUGAGUUGAACUGGAAAUAGUUUUAUUUGCCAGUUUUAAGUAUCUUUCUCUCCUCCAAGGGUAAAAUUAGUUUCUGUGUGGCUUAACAGAUAUUAUUGUCAUUUGUCCCUUCCAUGGAUAGGACACCUCUAGAGAGGCCAAAAGACUAGAACUGUGUGACUCAAUACAUUAGGUGAGAGUGCCUCAUCCUCUUUGUCUCUUAGCUUCUUUGUAUUUAUGUUCUAGAUGUGUUGUCAAAGUUGUGAUAAUCCUCACCAACCAGUAAGAAAUGAUAAGAAUGAGAUUGUGUGGUUUUUGGGGCUUUUAUUUUCCAUGUGGUGGGAAUAUAAAUGAGCACGACUU
Artibeus jamaicensis (Jamaican fruit-eating bat) is the source of this 1767-nucleotide long non-coding RNA. RefSeq lists it as uncharacterized. Lineage: Eukaryota; Metazoa; Chordata; Mammalia; Chiroptera; Phyllostomidae. The transcript has 4 exons. The record is from RefSeq and is a predicted model, not a curated record.